AACGAACGCUGGCGGCAUGCCUAACACAUGCAAGUCGAACGAGACCUUCGUGUCUAGUUGCGCACGGGUGCGUAACGCGUGGGAACCUGCCCUUAGGUUCGGAAUAACUCCCCGAAAGGGGUGCUAAUACCGGAUAAUGUCUUCGGACCAAAGAUUUAUCGCCUUUGGAUGGGCCCGCGUUGGAUUAGCUAGUUGGUAGGGUAAAAGCCUACCAAGGCGACGAUCCAUAGCUGGUCUGAGAGGAUGAUCAGCCACACUGGGACUGAGACACGGCCCAGAAUACUACGGGAGGGAGCAGUGGGGAAUAUUGGACAAUGGGCGAAAGCAUGAUCCAGCAAUGCCGCGUGAGUGAUGAAGGCCUUAGGGUUGUAAAGCUCUUUUACCCGGGAUGAUAAUGACAGUACCGGGAGAAUAAGCACCGGCUAACUCCGUG
This 433-nucleotide ribosomal RNA is filed under the name uncultured bacterium. RNAcentral's name for it is "partial 16S ribosomal RNA". It matches the Rfam family "Bacterial small subunit ribosomal RNA", at positions 29 to 507 of the family's 1533-position model. The record is from RNAcentral.